This 1302-nucleotide long non-coding RNA is filed under the name Salvia miltiorrhiza (redroot sage). RNAcentral describes it as "long non-coding RNA (SMIL_LNC012303)". The record is from RNAcentral. Lineage: Eukaryota; Viridiplantae; Streptophyta; Magnoliopsida; Lamiales; Lamiaceae.
GGACAUCUCAGUUAGUCUGCUCUGGAGGGUUGCUUCGGAUUUCUCUUCUCUGCCCAAUUUCUGCAGUCCUCUCGAAUAACCAACGUAUUCUGCCUUAAUACGAUCUGCGCCUCCACACUACUCUGAUCUGCCCAGUCAAGCCACGUGUCUUGAUCCUAAAGGCCCACAUACUCCACUCCUCAUCACCAUCAAUUUGGUUUUGUUGAAGGAUUGAAGGUAUAUAAAUGUUCUUUAUUUUUCUUGAAAUUUGUGAAGCAUAUAUAUACAUAUAUAAUUAGGGUUUUGAUUUUAUGUCUAUUAUUGUAAGAUUAAGGGCUUAAAUCCCAUGUUGCGGCCAGAAUUUGAUUUGAUUUGUUGAACUCGUUUCUUAUGGUUAAAAUGUAAGAAUAUUUAUUUUCAAUUUUUCUGUGUAUAGUUUAGUGUUUCUUGUGUUUCAAUAUUAAGUUUCAUAAAUUUUAGUGNGCAAACUUAUAAUACACGAUGUAUAACUCCCUGUUCGUUUGAUAUUUUUGAAUACUAUUUUAUUUUUAUUGAAACCAGACAUUCAUAGGUUUCUGGAAACAUAUGGCUUAUAUUUUUAUCUAUUGUAUACAAUAAUAUACAAAUUUUCCAAAUGAAUUAGUUUGCAGCGGUGUACUAUUGGUCAGUCAUUUUGAUAAAUGUUUCACAAGUUAUUUCAAGGGUCAUAUAAUGGUUAUAUUAUUCUAAAACUUUUCCCAUAUUACCUAUAAUAUUUUGUGAUCUCUUGGUUUAAAUUUCAGCCGCAUUUUAUGAGAUUUGAUGAUGAGUAAAAUAUGCACCAGCGCUGUGCAAUAUCAGGGCCAAAAUUAUUAUUAUUAUUAUUAUUAUUAUUAUUAUUAUUAUUAUUAUUAUUAUUAUUUGAUAUUUUGUGCAGCUUUGACUAAUACAGGGUUGAUUUGAUGGGGCAUCGGGGUUCGAAUAUUCUUUCGAAGGAAAGGGAACUCAGCUUUGGCAACCCAGCCUUGGCUCCCAACUUUAACGACUCAUCUCUGCUUCGACUUUGACAGUCCAGCUCUGCAUUAGCCUCGACGACUCAGCUCUAAGACAAAGACCAUUGUAAUAAAGACUUAGGCCCAAUUAUUUGAAUUAAUGGGCUUUAGGGGUCAAAUGAGCCAAGUUUACUUUAUAGCAUAUAAAUAGGACUCUCUUUAAUCUCUCAAUUUGGUACAUAUAAACUCUCACCAAGUAUAGUGAAAAACUCCGACAACCUCUCGUGGAUGUAGAUCUUCAUGAUCAAACCACGUAAAUCUAGUGUUCUUUAUCGCUUUUCUUUAAUCCGUU